RNAcentral lists this ribosomal RNA (447 nucleotides) under uncultured bacterium. RNAcentral describes it as "bacterial SSU rRNA". It matches the Rfam family "Bacterial small subunit ribosomal RNA", at positions 28 to 478 of the family's 1533-position model. The record is from RNAcentral.
GAUGAACGCUGGCGGCGUGCUUAACACAUGCAAGUCGAACGAGGAAUUUUAAAUGAGACUUCGGUGGAUUUUGAGAUUCCGAGUGGCGGACGGGUGAGUAACGCGUGGGCAACCUGCCCUGUACAGGGGGACAACAGCUGGAAACGGCUGCUAAUACCGCAUAAGCGCACGGUAUCGCAUGAUACAGUGUGAAAAACUCCGGUGGUACAGGAUGGGCCCGCGUUGGAUUAGGUAGUUGGUGGGGUGACGGCCUACCAAGCCGACGAUCCAUAGCCGACCUGAGAGGGUGACCGGCCACAUUGGGACUGAGACACGGCCCAAACUCCUACGGGAGGCAGCAGUGGGGAAUAUUGCACAAUGGGGGAAACCCUGAUGCAGCGACGCCGCGUGAGCGAAGAAGUAUUUCGGUAUGUAAAGCUCUAUCAGCAGGGAAGAAAAUGACGGUAC